This 74-nucleotide transfer RNA is filed under the name Acidimicrobiaceae bacterium. RNAcentral's name for it is "tRNA-Val". It matches the Rfam family "tRNA". From Rfam's summary of the family: Transfer RNA (tRNA) molecules are approximately 80 nucleotides in length. The record is from RNAcentral. Lineage: Bacteria; Bacillati; Actinomycetota; Acidimicrobiia; Acidimicrobiales; Acidimicrobiaceae.
GUCAGCGUGGUCUAGUGUGUCAUGGCGUCCGUCUCACACACGGAAGAUCCCGGGUUCAACUCCCGGCGCCGACA